This 225-nucleotide ribosomal RNA is filed under the name Clostridioides difficile. RNAcentral describes it as "partial 23S ribosomal RNA". It matches the Rfam family "Bacterial large subunit ribosomal RNA", at positions 2111 to 2334 of the family's 2925-position model. The record is from RNAcentral. Lineage: Bacteria; Bacillati; Bacillota; Clostridia; Peptostreptococcales; Peptostreptococcaceae.
UUGACAUUGGGUCUUGGUACUACAUGUACAGGAUAGGUGGGAGGCUUUGAAACCAGGACGCCAGUUUUGGCGGAGCCAUCCUUGGGAUACCACCCUUGUAGUACUGGGACUCUAACCAUAGGCCAUGAAUCUGGUCUUGGGACACUGUCAGGUGGGCAGUUUGACUGGGGCGGUCGCCUCCCAAAAGGUAACGGAGGCGCUCAAAGGUUCUCUCAGUACGGUCGG